RNAcentral lists this ribosomal RNA (435 nucleotides) under uncultured bacterium. RNAcentral describes it as "bacterial SSU rRNA". It matches the Rfam family "Bacterial small subunit ribosomal RNA", at positions 954 to 1392 of the family's 1533-position model. The record is from RNAcentral.
GCAAAACGCGAAGAACCUUACCAGGGCUUAAAUGUAGAGUGACAGGACUGGAAACAGUUUUUCUUCGGACACUUUACAAGGUGCUGCAUGGUUGUCGUCAGCUCGUGCCGUGAGGUGUCAGGUUAAGUCCUAUAACGAGCGCAACCCCUGUUGUUAGUUGCCAGCGAGUAAUGUCGGGAACUCUAACAAGACUGCCGGUGCAAACCGUGAGGAAGGUGGGGAUGACGUCAAAUCACCACGGCCCUUACGUCCUGGGCUACACACGUGCUACAAUGGCCGGUACAGAGAGCAGCCACCUCGCGAGGGGGAGCGAAUCUAUAAAGCCGGUCACAGUUCGGAUUGGAGUCUGCAACCCGACUCCAUGAAGCUGGAAUCGCUAGUAAUCGGAUAUCAGCCAUGAUCCGGUGAAUACGUUCCCGGGUCUUGUACACACCG